GACGAACGCUGGCGGCGUGCUUAACACAUGCAAGUCGAACGGAAAGGCCCUGCUUUUGUGGGGUGCUCGAGUGGCGAACGGGUGAGUAACACGUGAGUAACCUGCCCUUGACUUUGGGAUAACUUCAGGAAACUGGGGCUAAUACCGGAUAGGAGCUCCUGCUGCAUGGUGGGGGUUGGAAAGUUUCGGCGGUUGGGGAUGGACUCGCGGCUUAUCAGCUUGUUGGUGGGGUAGUGGCUUACCAAGGCUUUGACGGGUAGCCGACCUGAGAGGGUGACCGGCCACAUUGGGGCUGAGAUACGGCCCAGACUCCUACGGGAGGCAGCAGUGGGGAAUAUUGCACAAUGGGCGGAAGCCUGAUGCAGCAACGCCGCGUGCGGGAUGACGGCCUUCGGGUUGUAAACCGCUUUCGCCUGUGACGAAGCGUGAGUGACGGUAAUGGGUAAAGAAGCACCGGCUAACUACGUG
RNAcentral lists this ribosomal RNA (468 nucleotides) under uncultured bacterium. Its description in RNAcentral is "partial 16S ribosomal RNA". It matches the Rfam family "Bacterial small subunit ribosomal RNA", at positions 28 to 507 of the family's 1533-position model. The record is from RNAcentral.